Molecule: ribosomal RNA, 433 nt
Filed under: uncultured bacterium
Lineage: Bacteria
Description: partial 16S ribosomal RNA
Rfam family: Bacterial small subunit ribosomal RNA
Source: RNAcentral
AACGAACGCUGGCGGCAGGCCUAACACAUGCAAGUCGAGCGCGCACUUCGGGGUGAGCGGCGGACGGGUGAGUACCGCGUGGGAACGUGCCCUUUUCUACGGAAUAGCCUCGGGAAACUGAGAGUAAUACCGUAUACGCUCUUUGGGGGUAAGAUCUAUCGGAAAAGGAUCGGCUCGCGUUGGAUUAGGUAGUUGGGGGGGUAAUGGUCUACCAAGCCGACGAUGCUUAGCUGGUUUGAGAGGAUGAUCGGCCACACUGGGACUGAGACACGGGCCAGACUCCUACGGGAGGGAGCAGUGGGGAAUCUUAGACAGUGGGGGCAACCCGGAUCGAGCCAUGCCGCGUGAGUGAUGAAGGCCUUAGGGUUGUAAAGCUCUUUCAGCUGUGAAGAUAAUGACGGUACCAGCAGAAGAAGCCCCGGCUAACUCCGUG